ACAGGCAAAUUCUGUGUUUGUGGGAUUUAAAGAUUACAAGUGAAUUGUCAAAGAGCUGCCUGCACCUUGCUCGGAUGUUCUUUCAUUCAUUUAUUCAUUCAUUCAUCCAAGAAAUUUUUACAGAUAUGCCAUGUCAGUGACAUUGACUACCUGUGCUGUGUUGUGUAGCAUAAAGUAACAGCAAUUGAUGCAGCCAAAAUACUGUGUGAGAAUUGACUUUUGAGUAGAGAUAUUUCCCCUCAAACAAGGCUAUCCAAUAUUUGCAAUUCAAAAAAAAGACAAAAGAACAGAUAAUUUUGGUCUUACACCUUGUUUGUUUUGAGGGUGUGUCACAAGUUUGACUUAAGGAAGUCGGCUAUUUACAAACUGCGCCUAAAUAAUUUUUGUGUUGGACGAUUAAACCUCAUCUGUUAUUGAUAUGGGCUGCAGUCGGGCCAUUACAGAGUCCCAACAGUACUUACUCCCAGUAAUGGGAAAAUUGAGAGAGAGAGACCAACGCAAUUGCCUCAAGUGGGCCGUGAUGGUCUGGAAGGAGUAGAACAUUUGAAAGCUUUUGUUUGUUUGUGGGAAACCUAUUUCUAGCCAGCAGUUUUAUGUUAUUUGAGCUUUGAUUUGUGGGAAAGAGGUGAAGGAAAU
This 636-nucleotide long non-coding RNA is filed under the name Pan troglodytes (chimpanzee). Its description in RNAcentral is "long non-coding RNA NONPTRT017787". Lineage: Eukaryota; Metazoa; Chordata; Mammalia; Primates; Hominidae. The record is from RNAcentral.